This 253-nucleotide ribosomal RNA is filed under the name uncultured bacterium. RNAcentral's name for it is "partial 16S ribosomal RNA". It matches the Rfam family "Bacterial small subunit ribosomal RNA", at positions 524 to 776 of the family's 1533-position model. The record is from RNAcentral.
UACAGAGGAGCCAAGCGUUGUCCGGAUUGACUGGGCGUAAAGCGCACGCAGGCGGGGGUGCGCGUGGGGUGGGAAAUCUGGCCGCUUAACGGCCAGGCGCCAUCCCAUACGGCACGCCUGGAGCCUUGCAGAGGUCGGUGGAAUUGCCGGUGUAGUGGUGAAAUGCGUAGAGAUCGGCAGGAACACCCAGGGGGAAACCAGCCGACUGGGCAAGUGCUGACGCUGAGGCGCGACAGCGUGGGGAGCAAACAGG